GUAGGCCUGCCCUGUUCGUGAUAGCAAUCUUGUUUUGUGCUAAACAGGAACUAUAGGGUGUUCGAUUGUGUAUGGCGUGAAUGCCUGCAUUGCAGUAGGACUCAUAAAGUACAUAUAGAAUUCCCAUCUUUUUGAAAUAAUAGUUCAAACUCGUUGUUACACGGCAAGGGCAGGUCUCAU
RNAcentral lists this non-coding RNA (180 nucleotides) under Candidatus Cloacimonadota bacterium. Its description in RNAcentral is "6S RNA". It matches the Rfam family "6S / SsrS RNA". From Rfam's summary of the family: E. coli 6S RNA was the first non coding RNA to be sequenced, but its function was unknown until recently. It consists of 184 nucleotides that fold into an extended hairpin structure with a large single-stranded internal bulge. Lineage: Bacteria; Pseudomonadati; Candidatus Cloacimonadota. The record is from RNAcentral.